UAAUGAGUUUUCUGAGUGUCUAAUGAUGAAUUUCAUAGGGCAGAUUCUGAGGUGAAAAAUCGAAUUCACCAUUGAUUCAUGUACUAUGGAGUCUGAAGACACUUGAAAACCU
This is a small nucleolar RNA of Pipistrellus kuhlii (Kuhl's pipistrelle), 112 nucleotides long. RefSeq annotates it as small nucleolar RNA SNORD90. Lineage: Eukaryota; Metazoa; Chordata; Mammalia; Chiroptera; Vespertilionidae. The record is from RefSeq and is a predicted model, not a curated record. The transcript has a single exon.